ACACCGGAGUCUUCAUACUAUUCAAUACUUUGCUCACCACAGAGGUGGCUGGAGGAGCACCGGUUGGAUAUGUUGAGCCAGAGAGGGGUGAUUGCUCUCCCAUGCAGUUCUUCUUUGGUGAGUGCCAGUCCUUGCCCCUGUUUUUUCAUUUCAUCCCAAAAAGAUCAGGCACGGUUAUGUACUUUUUAUAGAUCUAGACUUAUCAAGGGAUGCUCAUAUUGGAAAAAAAUAUUGCACAGACCUGCAUCGACUCUAACUAGGUUAAUGACAACCGUUAAUCAUGGGGGUUUCACACAGGCCCCAAAAAAUCAAACAUUUGUGAUUGAGCCUGGUCUAGGCAAGAACUUCCCCACGUAUUGAUUAUAGUUCCAGUCUCAUAGAUAAGUCGAGUCAUUCAUAGUGUCAUAUGAGACAUUGUUCGAGAAAAACCCCAAUUGGCAUGUGACAAUGCCGGGCUUUCUUCAGAUACACAUAUUCCAAGCAUACUGCAUAUCUCUUUCUGUAGUCUCUGAUCCAGGGUCCACCUUUUUCGUGUGGCGGGUGCAUGAUUAAGGAUAAGAAAGGCAGAGUGAGACUCAAAACUGAGUCUACUUUCAGGUAAAAAAUUUGCCACAGUCAAUGGGGCCGACUUCUGUUCAUGAUUUAGGUCAAGGAGGUUCACAUUCACAUGUGGAAGUUCUUUUCAUCUCCUUAAUACCCGGAACUCGGUGUGACAAUAAUAUCUUAAGAAAAGUUCCUUAAGCAUUCUAUAUGAUUUGCUAAUUAUGAUUUUAGGUUAUAGAAGCUUUUUAGAGAUCCAACCACUAGGGUACUUACUGAUAAUGAGUAGGAGAGAUUCCCUGGAAGAAGACUUUGGUCUUUGAAGAAUCAACAUUGAGAUCAACCCAUUUGGCCCAUGUGCUCAGCCCCUUGUAAUAAGCACUUAGACGGUCCAUGUCUUUAACCACUCUGCCCCCAUCUUGUAUAUAGUCCCACCUGCAAUUAGAAUUUAUCAUCAUCGAACUUUGGUCUAAUAUCUAUUCAUCUUGUUUAAUGCAUAAGCCCUGGCCUAGAACCAACAAGAAAAUACAGGCACCACAUUAAGAUGAAAGUCAGAAGGAGAAUGCAGAUGAAUAUGAGGGAAGUCGAGGUUAUCAUACGGCUGAGAUUUUCCGGUGUGGGUCCACCAGUGCCAUGAGUU
This 1180-nucleotide long non-coding RNA is filed under the name Eucalyptus grandis. Its description in RNAcentral is "long non-coding RNA (EGRA_LNC003043)". The record is from RNAcentral. Lineage: Eukaryota; Viridiplantae; Streptophyta; Magnoliopsida; Myrtales; Myrtaceae.